GCAGAGAGAAGAGUUAUAGCAGUAGUUUAGGUAAGCAGUAAUAAGACUGUUAACUAGGGCUAGGGUAAUGUACAGGAAGAAAAGGCGGUGUGAGACAGUAGGGAGAAGGAAUUGACAGCCUCUGAUGAAUCAUUGGUAAUGGGGAAAAGGAGGGAGAUAAAUCAAAGAACACUCAGAGGUCUUGAGAUUCUGUGACUAAAAAUGAAUAUUGGAAACCAUCAGCAAGAAAUCGGGAGGAAGAGCUAAACUGUGCGGGGAAAAUGAUGAGUGGCCUUGGUAUACUUUGUGGUAACAACCUUAGCAAAUCUCCACCCACGUGAAAAGUGCCGUGAGGACUUGAAAAUGGAAGUCUGGGACUUGGGAGAAUCAUCAGGAAAUCAUGUAAAGAGGUAAAACUUAAAGGAGCCUGGGAGUUUAUGCACCUCCACCUUCCUGGACCAAGCAGCAGCCAAUGACUAACACAGGGAUCUACAAAAGGCCAAUUCUCACCUCCAGUAGAACCAGAUCUGCAAGCAGAGAUACCUCAGGAAUAUUAACCAACUCAGCCCUUCAACAACAAUUAUCCUUAUUAAAUAAAAUCUGUAUCAGCUGAAUCUUAGCACAAAAGAAAUUAGAACUGCUAUGGCAAAUCUGCAGUGUAAAUCCAUGGAAGUAACUGAUUUCCGCAAGAGAAUAUUAAUCAAGAAAAGUUUUAACUUUAUCAACUGCACUAAUGAAAAGACAUUUUCUGUUACAUAUCACACAAAGCCUGAUGGGGUGAAGGAGUGCAAGCCUUAAGCCUCUAGAUUUUAGCUGAUGUAUUACUUCUCCAAGUUCACAAUGCUUUUGAAGUGCCUCAGAUCUUAAAUCAAGGAACUUGCACUACAAAGAAGAGAGCCGCAGUGAAAUUAACUUUUUCCUAUCCUUGUAUAUGGUAUUAUUUUUCUUGUCUUAGCCCCUUAACAUGAAAGAUGUAGAAUACUAAGACAGGCAGACAUUUAUAUAAAGACCUGAAUGGCUAAUUUAGUGAGCAAAUAAAUCUGAGACACAAAUCUCCCUGCCCCUUAACCCAUCAUCAGCAAUUCCAAUCAAGCUAGUCUGUUCCUAAACUGGAAUCUCAUUGCAGUUGCAACCUUUUUUUUUUUUUUUUUGGCAAGUUACAUUAUUUUCUUUAAUGCAGAUUAAACAGCAAAACAAGCAUAUUGUCAAAAUUCCAUUUUAAAAUGAAUCAGAAGUGUCUUGCUCUAAAUCUCUAAGCACCAGGUCCUACAUCUGUGAAGUGGAAAUCCUACUAGUGCCUACCUGGUAGGCUUAGUGUGUUUAUUAAAUGAGACAAUGUAUAUAAAUCAGCAUACAGUGCCUGACAUAAAGCAAAUGCAUAAUACACAUUAGUUCAUGUUAUUUUCUUGCACAGAAUUUUUGAGGGGUAAUCUGAUUAUCUUCACAAUUUCCCACUGUGAUCACAGUAUUUAUUUACAUGCUGUGAAAAAUAAACUAAUCAAUGGGAAGAGGAAAUAAGUUGUAGCUAUAUAUGUUUACUGAAAUACAUUUUUGUCUGUUCUAAAGUUCACAGAAAGAGGGAUACCUGGGUGGUUUGGGGUUGAAUGUCUGCCUUGGGCUCAGGGUGGGAUCCCAGAGUUCUGGGAUCAAGUCCUGAGCCCUGCAUCAG
Long non-coding RNA from Canis lupus familiaris (dog), 1648 nucleotides. RefSeq lists it as uncharacterized. The record is from RefSeq and is a predicted model, not a curated record. The transcript has 3 exons. Lineage: Eukaryota; Metazoa; Chordata; Mammalia; Carnivora; Canidae.